UGGCUGUUGCUUACUGGUAUGACGUCGCCGUCCUUCAGCGGUGGUGCGUCGGCACUGCGCGGGACGAGUGCGACGUACUGUUCGCCGACUGCCGA
RNAcentral lists this transfer RNA (95 nucleotides) under Mycolicibacterium gilvum. Its description in RNAcentral is "tRNA-seC(tca)". The record is from RNAcentral. Lineage: Bacteria; Bacillati; Actinomycetota; Actinomycetes; Mycobacteriales; Mycobacteriaceae. RNAcentral also lists the same sequence under 1 other name.